UACAGAGGUCCCGAGCGUUGUUCGGAUUCAUUGGGCGUAAAGGGUGCGUAGGCGGCUUUCUAAGUUUGAUGUGAAAUCCUGGGGCUCAACCCUGGAACUGCAUUGAAUACUGGGAGGCUAGAGUACUGGAGAGGAAACUGGAAUUUACGGUGUAGCAGUGAAAUGCGUAGAGAUCGUAAGGAAGACCAGUGGCGAAGGCGGCGAUCUGGGCAGAUACUGACGCUGGAGGUGACGAAAGCGUGGGGAGCAAACAGG
RNAcentral lists this ribosomal RNA (255 nucleotides) under uncultured bacterium. Its description in RNAcentral is "partial 16S ribosomal RNA". It matches the Rfam family "Bacterial small subunit ribosomal RNA", at positions 524 to 776 of the family's 1533-position model. The record is from RNAcentral.